AGCGAACGCUGGCGGCAGGCCUAACACAUGCAAGUCGAACGGACCCUUCGGGGUUAGUGGCGGACGGGUGAGUAACACGUGGGAACGUGCCUUUAGGUUCGGAAUAGCUCCUGGAAACGGGUGGUAAUGCCGAAUGUGCCCUUCGGGGGAACGAUUUACCGCCUUUAGAGCGGCCCGCGUCUGAUUAGCUAGUUGGUGAGGUAACGGCUCACCAAGGCGACGAUCAGUAGCUGGUCUGAGAGGAUGACCAGCCACACUGGGACUGAGACACGGCCCAGACUCCUACGGGAGGCAGCAGUGGGGAAUCUUGCGCAAUGGGCGAAAGCCUGGCGCAGCCAUGCCGCGUGAAUGAUGAAGGUCUUAGGAUUGUAAAAUUCUUUCACCGGGGACGAUAAUGACGGUACCCGGAGAAGAAGCCCCGGCUAACUUCGUGCCAGCCGCCGCGGUAA
Molecule: ribosomal RNA, 449 nt
Filed under: uncultured bacterium
Lineage: Bacteria
Description: partial 16S ribosomal RNA
Rfam family: Bacterial small subunit ribosomal RNA
Source: RNAcentral